This 468-nucleotide ribosomal RNA is filed under the name uncultured bacterium. RNAcentral's name for it is "partial 16S ribosomal RNA". It matches the Rfam family "Bacterial small subunit ribosomal RNA", at positions 28 to 507 of the family's 1533-position model. The record is from RNAcentral.
GACGAACGCUGGCGGCGUGCUUAACACAUGCAAGUCGAACGGAAAGGCCCUGCUUUUGUGGGGUGCUCGAGUGGCGAACGGGUGAGUAACACGUGAGUAACCUGUCCUUGACUUUGGGAUAACUUCAGGAAACUGGGGCUAAUACCGGAUAGGAGCUCCUUCUGCAUGGUGGGGGUUGGAAAGUUUCGGCGGUUGGGGAUGGACGCGCGGCUUAUCAGCUUGUUGGUGGGGUGGUGGCUUACCAAGGCUUUGACGGGUAGCCGGCCUGAGAGGGUGACCGGCCACAUUGGGACUGAGAUACGGCCCAGACUCCUACGGGAGGCAGCAGUGGGGAAUAUUGCACAAUGGGCGGAAGCCUGAUGCAGCAACGCCGCGUGCGGGAUGACGGCCUUCGGGUUGUAAACCGCUUUCGCCUGUGACGAAGCGUGAGUGACGGUAAUGGGUAAAGAAGCACCGGCUAACUACGUG